This 5416-nucleotide long non-coding RNA is filed under the name Homo sapiens (human). Its description in RNAcentral is "HSALNT0393700". Lineage: Eukaryota; Metazoa; Chordata; Mammalia; Primates; Hominidae. The record is from RNAcentral.
CAAGGACCACACUUUGAGAAACACUGCCUUACAGUAUUAUUACCAUUUGUCAGCCAACUGUCUGCUGCCACCUGAGUUGUUACUGAUUAUCCGUGGUAACAAAUUCUGUUCUGUCCCUUUUUAACUCUUUUAUUCUCCAUAAUUAGAUCUUGUAAAUGGGUUGGACAUGCUCCCCAAGUGUUUGUUCCAUCAGUACAGCAAGAUUGAAACAUUAAUGACAGAUGCAUUUUUAGCAAUGAAAUAAGUCCUUCCUUGAAGGCAAGCAGCAGAAAGCUUCCCCAGGAGGAGUUAACCUGGGUUCCAGAGUGGAGCAGCAGAGUCAUGCUUUGUGGUUGCGGAGACCCAGAGAUAUUUUCAGAGGAGUGUGAUUCCAUGUAGUAAAUUCAUUUUCUCCAGCAGAGUAAGUGCAUGAAAGCUUACUGUAAGCUAUAACUUGCAGAAAUUAUUUAAGCUACCUUGGGCCCUUGUAGUGGAACUGCAUAUCUUCUCAGUAGAGAACGGAGAAGAAAGAACACGACAGCACCUCCAAUGGGAAGAGGAUACUGGAAUAAAGGCACAGCCUUCAGUUAAUUUCACUAGGCUACUGUGUAACAGGUUGAUGUUAUCUGCAGUUGUUAGAGGGUGGAAUUAUCAACCACACUCUAACUGACUCUGCAGCUAAGAUUCAUUUGCCACUGUUUGCUGCCUGGAUGCCAGAGAUGGACUCCUAAAGCUCAUUUGCCUAAAGCAUAUUCCGUCCAUUCACCCGAUGCUUUGGGGCAGAGACAUACAGAAAUUUGGGUUCAGGAGAUUGAUGUUGUCAUCUUUGAAAUAUUUAGAGGGCACAACAAAAUACUUUUAGUUGCUUAAUGUCAGCAUCUGCCACCUGGUGCCACACUCUUGGGAAAUAAUGCCAAUAUUAUUAUUUGAGUGUGCCAAUAAUGCACACUCACAAACAGUGAGCAAAUAUGUGUAUACAUUCUUAAAUAGUAAAAUCCACACUGGUCAUAGGAGACAGGCAAUAAUUUUUGCUCUACUAACGCUAUCACAUAGGUCCUAAAACAACAUUUUAGCAGCACAUACUCUCCAAGAAAGGGUAAAAUAAUUCUUAAGUUUUAUGAAUUGCACAUAUGCAGUAAUUACAAUAGCACAAAUAUGUGUAUAUGCACAUACAUAGAAAUGUAUUGGGUAAAUACCUAUAUAUUUGUGUAACAUACAUACUAUAUAUGUAUAUGUACAUAUACAUAUAAACAUAGACAUAUACAUACAAAUAAAAUCACUAUGUCUGCACCAGGAUAGAGAACUUGACCACCUAAAUUGUUGUUCAGGUGUUUUGACCAAUGAUACAUCACUUUACAGAAUAAUUCGGCAAACUUUAAAUCAUUUUUGUCAAUUUUACUUUUUAUGAGGAGAUUCAUUUAGCAAUCAAGAUGAUCCACCCUCAGAUUCUGAGUGUUGAUGACAUGUGACAAUUGGAAUAAAGCAGUUUGGAGUGGGGAUAGCUAGGUUGCCAUCAUGAAUCUGCAUAGUUACAAGAAAAACCAGAUUAAAGUUAUGAUACUGGAAGAGUUCCCAGGUCUCUGUAGAUUUCAGAACCAUAUUGAUGAGUAACAGAGGGUUUAAAUGAUCAACUUUUCUAGCAGUGCCAGUUCUUCCACUGUACAAAUCUCUAAAUAUUUGUUCUAAGAAUCCACAUAAAAACACAAAAGCCAUCUUACAUAUAACAUUAAAUGUUCUUUGGGAGGCCGAGGCGGGCGGAUCACGAGGUCAGGAGAUUGAGACCAUCCUGGCUAACAUGGUGAAACCCCGUCUCUACUAAAAAAUACAAAAAAUUAGCCGGGCGUGGUGGUGGGCGCCUGUAGUCCCAGCUACUCAGGAGGCUGAGGCAGGAGAAUGGCGUGAACCCGGGAGGCAGAGCUUGCAGUGAGCCGAGUUCGCGCCACUGCACUCCAGCCUGGGCGACAGAGGGAGACUCCGUCUCAAAAAAAAAAAAAAAAAAAACAAAAAAAAAACAUUAAAUGUUUUGUUGAACAAAUCAGUGAAUCAAUGAUAAAUGCAUAGUUGAAUCCAUCUAUGAAUCAGCACAACUAGAAUAAGCAAGUCCAAGUCUCCAAUUCCCAGGGGUGACAAGCUAAUUUCCUAAGUGGCUUCCAAUAGUAAAUUGGGCCCUUGGGAGCCACACUAUUCUUCUAGGCCAGUAAGGGAGGAGGUUGCACAAACAGAAGGAGAAACCCUAAGAGCCCAGGAUUCCUAGGAGAAGGAAAAUACUGACUGAAGGUAUGGCUCUAGGAGCUUCCAAUUCUCAUUUCUCAAGAGAAGAUUCCUGAAAUGUGAAGAAUCUAAAGAAAAAUCUAUAUACAGUCCUACAUCUUUGUGUAUCAGAGAAAUCCAUCUAUAUCCACAGCUACUUGUUACAGAUUCUAUGUGUUGGCAGGAUUCUCAAAGAAGCAAACGUAGGGUAGAUACAGGGGCAGAUACACAUUCUAUGGUGCAUAACUUACAAAUUUUUAAAGCUAACAAUACCAUAAACAUUGCCAAGUCCAGGAAAAUAAUGUAAGAUUAACUAAUUAACUGUGUGACAGAUCUCUAUGAUACUCCUUUCCCUGAAAUUUUGGCUUCAUACUAUUAAAGUAGCAAAAUGACAAAGAUUUUAUAACACCAUUUUCUAGAGGGAAAAAAAGUAGAUCAGUUAAUCUGUCUUCUAACAUGAUUGAUCAAAAUUUGUUUUCUAAGGCUGAGGCAGGAAGAUAACUUGAGCCCAGGAGUUCAAGACCAGAAUGAGAAACAUGGGGAGACCCUAUCUCUACCAAAACAAAACAAAACAAAAACCUCAGGUGUGGUGUCAGGCACCUGGGGUCACAACUACUUGGGAGGUUGAGGUGGGAAGAUCUCUGAGGCCUGGGAAGUCGAGCCUGCAGUUAGUGGUGAUCAUGUCCUACACUGCAGCCUGGGUGACAAAGAAAGACUGUGUCUCAAAAAAAAAAAAAAAAAAAACUAAGAAAAAAUUUUAAUUUUUAAAAUUAUUAAUAGCUUAGAAAGUUUUUUUUCAGCUUCUCAAAGUUUCUCUAGAGUUUCAUGUCUUGUUGCUGUGCAAGUCAGCACAGUUGGAAUUCAGAAUAUUCCUAGUAGUCCUUCCUACAUCAGGUCAGCUUGCAACAAUUUAACUCUACAUGGAAGCAAUUGUGAACCACAUAAAUGCACCCUUCUACAUCAAUCCAAACCAGAUUCCCAAAUCAACUUCCCUUUAGCUAUGUCUCAAAAUAUUCACAACUCCUCCAAAGCCAACUGACAUGAGGGGAAGUCAGAGUGGAAAUAGCACUCUUAGUUGAUUACAGUAAAAAAAAAAUCUCAUUUUUGUAAAUUUUACACAUUGCGAGUGCCCCUCCUAGACCCUUGGAGGGGGCCCAUGAGAGUGAAGUGCCUUUCUAGUGGACAAUUGCCUCUCAUCACUCAACUGGGGUGUAGUUUUUCUGUGGCCCCUCAUAGCUAAGUUGGGAGGCCCAAUCCCUCCACUUAUUUCAAGGGAAUUUACCCAGGCCCUGUUACGAGCUGGGAUCCUGUAUCCCAUGCACCAAUCAGCAUUUCCAAAAAACAGAGAGAUUCAGAAUAUGAACUUUAGAGCUGGAAAGAAAGGACAUUAGCAACCACACAAUCCCCUUCCCACCCCACAGAUGAUUAAACUGAAAUCCAAGGAAAGUUAACUUGUGGAUAGAUUUAUUACUUAGUUGUCUUGUGAAUCAAUUAUUUGGAGUUUACUAAACCAACGUUGAGUAUUUUCCAUGUACAGGGAAUUCUCCCAUCAAAUCCUUACAAUGAGCUUAUAGGAUAAAUGAACCCCAUUUGACCUAUAAGAAAAGUGAAUCUCAGAGAAAUUAAGGGUCUGUCUGGCCUUAUUUCACACAAUUAGUAAAUUGCGUAGUUCAGGUCCACAUUCUUGCCCACUAUGCUAUGGCAUCUCCAAUUACCCAAUGGGUAUGAUCUCCUCCCACUAAAGAUAAUAUAAAUAAUAAUUAUUUUGUAUUGUUUUAUUAUUUCACAAAUUACUUUCACACUUCACAGUUUUCUUAAUUAUUACACUGCCACUUAAAAUAAAUUUUGUAGGAAUUAAUAUUAUCUACUCUAUGAAAAAACUAAGGUUUAGACACACUGGGAUACUUGUGUUACCAAUAAAUGAUGAAAGUGAGCCUAAAGUCCAUUUUCUUUCUAGUCUAGGUCCUAUGUUCUUUCCUCUCACUCCCACUGGUCAGUGAUCCAUUAGGUGAACUGUAGCUGUAAUCACCCCUCUUAUAGAAACUUCCAGUGGUUGUCAAAAGCCAUGGACUAUAAAAGUAAAAUGAGCAUAGACUGAGAUACUUUUCUUAUAGCUUUCUCCCAGUAGGUCUGUGUUUGAGGCCUUCUUCUAAAGUUAGAAGAUCCUUAAAACUCUCUUAUUGAAGAUAAUGGACUUCAGUUGCAAAGUAUUUAUUUUCUGCAUGUUACACUAAAAGUAUUUGAAGUGUAACCCUAGUAAAUAAUAAAGUUGAAAGUUGUUACUACAGGAUGUGUUUUAUUCCUUCAUUACAUCCUGUGAGAGCUUGGUGUAGUCUGUGGACUCAUCAACCCCAAAGUAGGAACACUGUGUUGCCUGUUCUUCCUUCUCAUGUCUUUCCCAUAUAAACCUGUUAAGUUAAAAUAAAGUUGGCCUGUAAUGUAUUAGGGUUGGAGACACGAGUAUAAUCUCAUGUUUAGCUUAAUUUAAAUAUAGAUGGUUACACAUAUGUAAACAUGUAUAGAUAUGUGUACAUAUAGGGUUAGUAUACACACAUAUUUCCUUGAUCUUUCAGUGCAGAGGAUCUAAAAGAAACAACACCUCAGCAGCAAUGAGCACACCUAAUGGCCAAAUUUUUACUUCCAAUACCAUUCUCCAAUAACAGGAAGCAGUGUUCCUUCAAGAAAUGGUUGAUUCUAAGAUUGGGGUGUAAAAUAUACAAGAUGAGCCUGCAGUAUAUUGCUGAGAAAGAAAGAAGGAAGGAAGGAAAGAAGGAAGGGAGGGAGGGAGGGAGGGAAGGAAGGAAGGAAAGAAGGAAGGGAGGGAGGGAGGGAAGGAAGGAAGGAAGGAAAGAAGGAAGGGAGGGAGGGAAGGAAGGAAGGAAAGAAGGAAGGGAGGGAGGGAGGGAAGGAAGGAAGGAAAAGAAAGAAAGAAGGAAAGAAAGAGAAAGAAAGAAAGGCAAGAAGGCAGGAAGGAAGGAAGAAAGGAAGAAAGGCAAGAAGGCAGGAAGGAAGAAAGGAAGAAAGGAGGGUGGGGAGGACAGACAAAAGGAAGGAAGGAAGGAAUGAAAAGGAAGGAAGGAAGAAAAGGAAGGAAGGAAAGAAGGAACUAUAUGUCCUUUUAAAGCUGGAAUAGUUUAAUCAGGAAAAUAAAGCAGUAUUGGAUUAUAACUCAAAGUGUAAAAUAAAU